GUGGGGAAUUUUGGACAAUGGGCGAAAGCCUGAUCCAGCCAUGCCGCGUGCAGGAUGAAGGCCUUCGGGUUGUAAACUGCUUUUGUACGGAACGAAAAGACUCCUUCUAAUAAAGGGGGUCCAUGACGGUACCGUAAGAAUAAGCACCGGCUAACUACGUGCCAGCAGCCGCGGUAAUACGUAGGGUGCAAGCGUUAAUCGGAAUUACUGGGCGUAAAGCGUGCGCAGGCGGUUAUAUAAGACAGAUGUGAAAUCCCCGGGCUCAACCUGGUAACUGCAUUUGUGACUGUAUAGCUAGAGUACGGUAGAGGGGGAUGGAAUUCCGCGUGUAGCAGUGAAAUGCGUAGAUAUGCGGAGGAACACCGAUGGCGAAGGCAAUCCCCUGGACCUGUACUGACGCUCAUGCACGAAAGCGUGGGGAGCAAACAGGAUUAGAUACCCGAGUAGUCC
Molecule: ribosomal RNA, 450 nt
Filed under: uncultured bacterium
Lineage: Bacteria
Description: partial 16S ribosomal RNA
Rfam family: Bacterial small subunit ribosomal RNA
Source: RNAcentral